Molecule: ribosomal RNA, 492 nt
Filed under: uncultured bacterium
Lineage: Bacteria
Description: partial 16S ribosomal RNA
Rfam family: Bacterial small subunit ribosomal RNA
Source: RNAcentral
AGUGAACGCUGGCGGUAGGCCUAACACAUGCAAGUCGAACGGCAGCACAGUAAGAGCUUGCUCUUACGGGUGGCGAGUGGCGGACGGGUGAGGAAUACAUCGGAAUCUACUUUUUCGUGGGGGAUAACGUAGGGAGACUUACGCUAAUACCGCAUACGACCUACGGGUGAAAGCAGGGGAUCUUCGGACCUUGCGCGAUUGAAUGAGCCGAUGUCGGAUUAGCUAGUUGGCGGGGUAAAGGCCCACCAAGGCGACGAUCCGUAGCUGGUCUGAGAGGAUGAUCAGCCACACUGGAACUGAGACACGGUCCAGACUCCUACGGGAGGCAGCAGUGGGGAAUAUUGGACAAUGGGCGCAAGCCUGAUCCAGCCAUACCGCGUGGGUGAAGAAGGCCUUCGGAUUGUAAAGCCCUUUUGUUGGGAAAGAAAAGCAGCAGGUUAAUACCCCGCUGUUCUGACGGUACCCAAAGAAUAAGCACCGGCUAACUUCGUG